GUGCCUGUGGCGCAGUUGGCUAGCGUGCCAGAUUGUGGCUCUGGAGGCCAAGGGUUCGAGUCCCUUUAGGCACC
RNAcentral lists this transfer RNA (74 nucleotides) under Lachnospiraceae bacterium. RNAcentral describes it as "tRNA-His". It matches the Rfam family "tRNA". Rfam says of the family: Transfer RNA (tRNA) molecules are approximately 80 nucleotides in length. The record is from RNAcentral. Lineage: Bacteria; Bacillati; Bacillota; Clostridia; Lachnospirales; Lachnospiraceae.